UCCCUGGAGGACUAGUGGUUAGGCCAUGAUGCUCUCACUGCGUGGCCCGGGUUCGAUUCCCAGGCAGGGAA
Non-coding RNA from Pangasius djambal, 71 nucleotides. NCBI's taxonomy places the organism in Eukaryota, Metazoa, Chordata, Actinopteri, Siluriformes, Pangasiidae. The record is from the annotation of a GenBank genome assembly.